GAUGAAGAACGUAGCGAAAUGCGAUAAGUAAUGUGAAUUGCAGAAUUCAGUGAAUCAUCGAAUCUUUGAACGCACCUUGCGCCCUUUGGCCAUUCCGAAGGGCAUGCCUGUUUGAGUAUCAUGAACACCUCAACUCUUUAUGGUUUUCCAUGAUGAGCUCGGACUCUGGGGGUUUUGCUGGCUCACAGUCGGCUCCUCUAAAAUGAAUCAGCUUACCAGUGUUUGGUGGGUAUCAUGGGUGUGAUAACUAUCUACGCUUGUGGUUUUUCCACCAGGUAACCUUCAGCAGUGGAGGUUCGCUGGAGCUCAUAGAUGUCUCUCCUCAGUGAGGACAGCCCUUUGAAUGUUUGAUCUCAAAUCAGGUAGGACUACCCGCUGAACUUAAGCAUAUCAAUAAGCGGAGGA
This 405-nucleotide unclassified non-coding RNA is filed under the name soil metagenome. RNAcentral describes it as "partial contains 5.8S ribosomal RNA, internal transcribed spacer 2, and large subunit ribosomal RNA". The stretch from base 1 to 121 matches the Rfam family "5.8S ribosomal RNA", at positions 35 to 154 of the family's 154-position model. The record is from RNAcentral.